Nothobranchius furzeri (turquoise killifish) is the source of this 805-nucleotide long non-coding RNA. RefSeq lists it as uncharacterized. NCBI's taxonomy places the organism in Eukaryota, Metazoa, Chordata, Actinopteri, Cyprinodontiformes, Nothobranchiidae. The record is from RefSeq and is a predicted model, not a curated record.
CACACACACACACACACACACACACACACACACACACACACACACACCCUUGUCUAUGCCCAACUACAGUUCUGACAGCCCACUUUUACACACAACACAUAUUUAAAUGCUAUUUGAAAACUUUUACUUUAUUACACUUAUGCACAGCUGAAAAUGCGUACUUUAAUACUUAACUUAAGUCUAAAAUUUGUUGAAGACUUUUACUUUUACUUUGGUGAUUUUUACCCCUUUAUCUGUACUUUUACUUAUGUGAUAAAAAGCAAGUACUUCUUCUUCCAGCACUGCAUUCUGUUAUUUAGAUCAUUGUCAGGGUUCAGAACGUCACUGUCAUGGUCUGAGGUGAGCUCAUCCUCUAAUCUGUGUCAGCAUUCAUUCCAGGUGAGCGGUGUCUGAAUGGGACCAGCUGCAGCAGAUCCAUCAUCAGCCACUGCUGGCUUAAAAGGAGGAGGAAGACCACUAAUCAACACCUGUUGAUUACUCCACACGGGCAUAUCCAGUUGGAAACGCUCCUGCUACUCGAUCCAGCUCGACUACACCCCUUCAGUCAAGCUCCUGGACCUCUCUUCAGCCUGCAUCUUCCUUCCCUCAGUCCUGUUCAUCACAGCUCAUCCACCCCCCUCUGGAACCCUUCCCUCGACCCCACUGGACACUCCUCAGAUCUAACAGACCUCUUAACAAACCAUCUCCCCAGCAGCACAGCCCAGCUUUCCCCCUUGCCCCAGCAUCUCCCAGUUUGGGACGUCCUUAGUUGAACAGAUUAAUGAAACCUUUGUUUAAUUUUACAUUGUCUCUUGUGUUGAUUCUG